This is a long non-coding RNA of Cygnus olor (mute swan), 4549 nucleotides long. RefSeq lists it as uncharacterized. The transcript is spliced from 4 exons. The record is from RefSeq and is a predicted model, not a curated record. NCBI's taxonomy places the organism in Eukaryota, Metazoa, Chordata, Aves, Anseriformes, Anatidae.
CCUUCCUUCUCUAUUUAUCCUGUUUAUUUAGUGCAAAAGCCAUUGAGAGUGGUGCUGCUUGCUGCAGGCUGAGCACUGUGAGGUCCUGAGCCCUGCUUGGUCCUGCAGGUGCAGAAGAUCAGGAGCUGGUGGAGAUUGCUAAAUGAGUGAGCGGAUUUUCUCUGGUUUCCAGCUGACCACAUGGCUCUGCUGAUGAUGGGAGCAGGCUGCACAGGUUCGAGUUAAUGCAGCCCUGAUCAGCCCUGAAUGGACACCAAAAACUGGAGAUAGAUGCUGCAGGCACCAAAUCCUCACAUCUUCUGCUGAGACCUGAGGCUCUGCUUCACCUCCUGGGUUGGUGUGGAGUCAGACACCAACCAGCUCCGUGGGGAGGGAAGGGAAACCCAGCUCCUGUGCUGCCCCUGGGGAGCAUCUCUCUUAAUCGAGGCCUGCACACAAAUGUGUGCUCACAUGCUCACAAAGGCAGUGCUUGCCUGUGGCUGCAUGUUCACAGUGUGACAGGCCUUUUAGGCCUCAAGCAAUGUUAUCUGGAAGUGGGAAGUGAACCAAAUCAGGCCCUCUGGUGCGGAGCUGCUUUGCCUCUCAGACUGUGUAUGCUGUGGCGUGCUCCUGCUGUGGCUGCCUUCCCUGUGCUUCAGAGCAGAACCACCUGUCCAUCUGCAGACCACUUCAGCUUCUUACAACAUCCUGGAAUAUUUUCUGGCUCUCAGGCUCUUCCUGAGCUCCUGCAGUGUCUCUGUGGAGCAUCUGUGUGGAAGGAGAUGCACAAGGUCUGACCAUCACUUACAUCUUUGGGAGAAGGAUUAUGUCAAAGUGUUGAUGCUGACAGGUUGUUCCUGGCUCCCUGGAGAAGUUGCAGCACCUUCACUGGUGCUCAGCUGGAGACAGGAGCAACCAGAAGAGAGCUACAAAGCACAAAUGUCCCGUACAUAGUCAAGGUGCUGCUGCAGGGUGGCAGUUGGUCUGGAUUCCAGUGCAGGAGAGUAAGGUCUUGUGGAUUCUCCUCUUUUGUAACCUUUAAAUACCGAAGUCAUAAAUAAAACCCAGAUGCCAUUGAAUAACAUCUGGAUGAUGAAGGCUCGCUCUGCUCUUGCUUUGGAUGGGUACAGCAGAAAUGGGGAGUAGCUGUGGGGUGGCGGCAGUGACUUGGCGGUUUGCAGCCCAGAUGCAGAAGCCCUGAGCUGACUGGCGUGCUCAGACCCACUCAUACAUAUUUUUAAUGGGAAAUAGUAACUUGCAGAGGCACUGCUUGGCUCAGUGACCCCGGGGUUAUGGGGGCUGUAGAGUUUUGAGACCCUCAGCCAGACCUGUGGAGUCCUAAACCCCAAACUGGCCAGUGGGGAGACAAGAAGCUUUUGGAGCUCCUCAGCCCAUCCAAGCUGCGGAGCAGGGUUGUGAACCUUGUUGUUCUCUGCGAGAAUGUUGCUUUUACAAUUAAAACCCACGCAAACCCCCGGCCCUUGCUACUGCUUGUGUUACCCCAGUGAGAUAUCUGACAUUUGAGACAGAAUGGGAAGUCAAAGAAUGUGAGGAAUCUGGUGACUCAACAUAGGGUUUAUUAUACCAGUCCUACCGUUUAAGCCCGUGUAAUGUAAGAUUGUUUUAUGGCAUGUGGCACAGUUCUGUGGGUUAAUUUAUAAGCAAACAAUUAUUCAAAUCGGAUUUUUUUUCCAUGCCUACAUAAACUUAUCUGCUUGGCAGCAGGGGAUGCUGCAAAGAAAUGCGCAUUUACAUUUAUGGCAUUUAGCUGCUCCAGGAAAAGUAAAUAGCAUCAAUGGUGCAUUGACAUGAGGACCUUACUACUGAACUUGACCUGGGAGCGGCAUGGAGAUAAGCCAAAAGUUAAGAGAAAAGGAGCCCUUUGUGUGGAGAUGCCAGUAUAUUAGGUCUCACUUUUAGGUCACACACUUGUUAGGGGUUCCUUCAAAGUGAUGGAUUCCUCUGCUAAAAUUUAAUGAUGUCCGUUAAAUCACAGGGUCAUGAACUAGUGCAUGUGCUGAAAAUGGUUUGCCAAAGGACCAUGAAGACAAGGCCUUGUGUCAGGAGGCUUCCAAAGCAAAUUGGAUUUUCCACGCAGCAAUGGCUGUGUUUGAAGGUCUGUCAGUGGCCUGUAAAAUUCUCCACCAGCGAUAACAAGACAGAAGUGCCAAGCACUGAAGCAAUGCCACAAGCGUUACAGAACAAAUCACUCCCUCUCUGUACAUAAUAGCUUCUUGAUCAUCAGUCAAAGAAAGAAUUAUCCUAACCAGCAAGCAGACUGGCGGAGGCUGCUCGCUCUCCUCCAGGAGAUUGUCCCAGAGCUCCUGGGCUAAAGCCACUGGGGAGAGCCUGGGGAGCUUCUGGGAGCAUCGGUCUGGGGCCGAGCGGCUGGGUAGGUUGAUUUUUGGGUUGGAUGUGUAGAGAAGGAAGGAACUCAAUGUCAAGGCUUGCAUCCCUGAGCAGGCCUUUGGGGUCACCUGACCUGGCUUGAGACCAACCCCAGGACCAGCCACAUUCACGUGGAGGGAAAUGUGGACUGGUGCAAGGGAAGUUGGGUUCUGUGUGGAGAUGUCAGUCUGUUCCCUGCUCUCCUGAUGCUAACCUGGUCUGUAUUUUUCAAUCUGGGUCCUACAAAAGGUAGGUGUUAGGAAUAACUUUAUCUGCAUGCUCUUUAGCAUACUGUGAGAUGAGAUGGGUCACUUGUGUAGUUAGAUACUGUUCUGAGGGGAGGAAAACGAGAUCAUCCUGUUUCAGAAAAGAACUGAGUGGAAGAGGCUGAACCUGCUUGCUUUUUCUAUGGCAAGAAGAGUCAUAGGAGCCUUCCUUCCCUGACUUGUUUUCUAUGCCUGCUCUCUGCCUGGACAUGAGCUGUGCAUCAUCUGCUGGGUGGGAAAUUCUGCAGCUUGUGUGCAGACCCAUAAACAGUUCUUCUACCUUCUGUAUUUUGACCCUUGAGAACAGGACUCUAAUCAUGAUAUCCUUCCACCCAUCUCACAUGUAUUUAUGUAAGGAUCACAUCUAACAAGCAUUUCCGACAGACUGCUAAAUUCAUUGAAGCAGAAUAACCUCUAGCCCGGCUUCAUUGGCUGUGCUGGUGUUGCAGGAAGGAUGAUUUGGCUCAUUACAUAGCAUCCUUAGCUGCAGUGGUUUGCUAAGCAUCUGAAUGUGGAGCCAGGAGGUCGGGUGUUCAACUGGAGCUCAUACCCAGUGCUAACAGAUGGGGGAAGUUCCAGUCGUGAUGGCAGUAUAUUUUAAUGGUGAGGUAAUUUACAAUGUCUGUUAAGUUGUCUGCUGCCCUAAGCAUGAGAAAAUAAAGUGGAAGCUAAAAACCCCAAGGAAGACCUUUCAGAAAAUAUCCUAAUGGUCUGGUCAGUUCUUCUUUGGCUGUUUUUAUUAAGGACUUUUAUUUAAUGGAGGAGCUAAUAAGUGGCUGUAUUGUAUUUCAGAGCAGAUAACACCACUGGACUUCAGAUUUGAGACUUGGGUCUCCUGACAAACCUUAUGAAAGGUUGAUAUAGUCAUAUUCAUUUUCAGUAAUGAAUGAUUGGUUUCUUAAAGCAUGACAUAGAAGACCUUUUUGAGCUCUAGAAGGACUCACAUUGACUUGCAAUGAGGUUGCACCUAUGCCCUGGGUCUCCACUCGAGGUUCUGGGAAGCAGAAGGAGCUGGAGCACCCAGGGGACCUGGGCCGUAAUCCCCUGCCUGCCCUGCCACCACCUGUGAUGUUGGGCCAGCGCUUUAACCUCAGCUUCUUCCCUCAUACAGUGGUGUAGUGAUGCCUUAUGAAGAUGAAGAAGAGAGUGCUAGUUGGCGAAGCUGUUGGAGGUGCAGCCUGAAUGGUUCCUGCUGGAUCAACAAGACACCUGUCCAGACUGCUGCUGCAGCAUCAAAAUCUUCUUGAUUCAAACAAGUACCAAAACAUUUUGGACCAGUUUGCCUGUGUUGGGUGUGGGAAGCCAGGAGCAUCAUCCGGAGCUGGCCGCGUGGGUGCUGCUGGCCUCGGGCUGACACCGGACGGGGGAGUGCAUUGCUCACGCGUACGCUGACCAUUGGUUUCUCCAGCCUGGGCUUGGACCGAGCGAUAGAGAAGGCAGCUCUGGUUCCACCCAGUCUCUAAAGGAUUUGAUGUAUCUUGCUGCCAAAAGCAAACAGCGUAAAUCAUCUCUGAGUGCAGAGCUGUCUGGCUUCCUUGGAGGGAAAGUGCAGUCAGGGUGGGGCAAGAGGACACCAGGGUGCAAUGCUGCCUGUAGGCUGGUGUGGUACAAAAUCCUCCCCAAGAUUUCAGCCCAGUAAAACUUGGAAGGUGGGUGGCUCUGUCACGGUGAUGCCUAGUGGUUUCUUAGAAGAGAAGGUGCCUGGGGAUUGCUGCUGGGGUGCUCCUGCGCAGAGCUCGGGGUGACCUAGGGGUUUAUCCUGUUUUCAUUGUGAUGUGUGUGCGUGUUUAUGAAAUCCAUCACCCUGGGUGAUGUCAUGACAUGAUGAGAAACUGGGUUGUAAAUUAAAGGAAGAAGAGAAAAAAAAAGACCCCACUGUGGGUCAGAUGCUGGCAAUAAAUUCAGAUAACAGCUCA